CAUCACAUCUGCCACUUCUCCUCCAUGGUGCUUAGCAUAGGUAGCACGGGGGUUGUGCCUACGUGAGCCACGACGGCGCUGCUCACACCCCUGCCUCAUUCGUGAGCAUUACCUCACCCCUGCCCAAUUUGCAAGGUAGACACUUUGUGGGAGGAAGGAGAGCUCUUCCGCUGUGGGAGCCAUCGGGAAUUGUUCGCUUGCCGGGUGUUGGCCACUUACCCGGUGGCUCCAACUAAGUUGAGGUGCUGGUUUUCAUGUGAGCUGCUGGUGGUGGUUGCGCAUUGAUAGGAGCAACCUGGUUGGGUGGUGACGUUUCUGAGUGGCCAAGCAAUAGCUACUUUUUGUCUACUACCUCUGCAGUGGCUACUUCUGCUAUAAUGCGCAUCAACACCAGAACCACGUUUCCUAUCAUGGUAUGAGGCUUAGCAUCAUCAUCUGCUUCCAAAAGUUUGUGUUUUCAAAUGCUACCUCAUUUUGGGCUGAACGGCUUUCGAUCUUCGGAAUGCAUCACUUUCUAUGUACAUGACUUGCUCUAAUCUUGAUCUAUUAAACGUUUCUUUUGGUCUAUUCCUUUGUGCCGAGCUUGAUGUGAGUCAAUUGUAUUCUGUGAUAUUUAUUUUGAUUGGAAAAUUCAUGAGGUUAAAGAUUUGGUGCAUUG
Long non-coding RNA from Aegilops tauschii subsp. strangulata, 658 nucleotides. RefSeq lists it as uncharacterized. NCBI's taxonomy places the organism in Eukaryota, Viridiplantae, Streptophyta, Magnoliopsida, Poales, Poaceae. The record is from RefSeq and is a predicted model, not a curated record.